Hylaeus volcanicus is the source of this 616-nucleotide long non-coding RNA. RefSeq lists it as uncharacterized. The record is from RefSeq and is a predicted model, not a curated record. NCBI's taxonomy places the organism in Eukaryota, Metazoa, Arthropoda, Insecta, Hymenoptera, Colletidae. The transcript has 2 exons.
CGCGACGUUCCUCAUGGACCCGUCCGUCUGUUCGCGCGCGAUUGUCGGAAAGGAACUGGAACGAGUUCGGAAUUCUCGGAACAACGCUGCUUGGAGGAUAUCGGGAUCGCUGGGGCCACCAGGGGUAGUUUUUGGCGAAUGGGGCGGUUUUGGUUUUGGUUGAGAUUCGGAGGGAAUUGCAGUUUCUGAAGGUGUAGUCGAUUCGUAGGAGGUUGACUGAUGACUGAUUAGAUGAAAUAAAAUAUAAUUGUAUCCAAACUUAUGAUACAUCUCAAUCCAUCACAACCACUUCGAUGACACAGAUUGAUAUUCGUAGUAUAUCGCAGGGUGUGUUACUUUAAUUACACAUAUUUCUGAAAUUAUAGAGUCGUUACAUCUAAUAUUUUACACAUAGCAACAGGGGAGCUAUAAUCUACCAUCCUGCGAAACUAGGUUAAUACCGGAGGUGUGCGAGUCUUUCCCCUGUAAGUGCUAAUCGUUUACGUAUACAUUCGUCGGUGGAGUUCCAAUUAGGAAACAUUACACGGACAGAAUUUAUAAAAUAAAAAUAUUUUUAUAUCGUAAAUAUUACUUUAGCAACUAUAAUAAAAUUUUCAUUUUACAGAUCCAUCUUUCA